RNAcentral lists this ribosomal RNA (497 nucleotides) under uncultured bacterium. RNAcentral's name for it is "partial 16S ribosomal RNA". It matches the Rfam family "Bacterial small subunit ribosomal RNA", at positions 28 to 507 of the family's 1533-position model. The record is from RNAcentral.
GAUGAACGCUGGCGGCGUGCCUAAUACAUGCAAGUCGAACGAACGGACGAGAAGCUUGCUUCUCUGAUGUUAGCGGCGGACGGGUGAGUAACACGUGGAUAACCUACCUAUAAGACUGGGAUAACUUCGGGAAACCGGAGCUAAUACCGGAUAAUAUUUUGAACCGCAUGGUUCAAAAGUGAAAGACGGUCUUGCUGUCACUUAUAGAUGGAUCCGCGCUGCAUUAGCUAGUUGGUAAGGUAACGGCUUACCAAGGCAACGAUGCAUAGCCGACCUGAGAGGGUGAUCGGCCACACUGGAACUGAGACACGGUCCAGACUCCUACGGGAGGCAGCAGUAGGGAAUCUUCCGCAAUGGGCGAAAGCCUGACGGAGCAACGCCGCGUGAGUGAUGAAGGUCUUCGGAUCGUAAAACUCUGUUAUUAGGGAAGAACAUAUGUGUAAGUAACUGUGCACAUCUUGACGGUACCUAAUCAGAAAGCCACAGCUAACUACGUG